CGUGUAGGCGGUUUCUUAAGUCUGAUGUGAAAGCCCCGGGCUCAACCCGGGAAGUGCAUUGGAUACUGGGAGACUUGAAUACGGGAGAGGGUAGUGGAAUUCCUAGUGUAGGAGUGAAAUCCGUAGAUAUUAGGAGGAACACCGGUGGCGAAGGCGGCUACCUGGACCGAUAUUGACGCUGAGACGCGAAAGCGUGGGGAGCAAACAGGAUUAGAUACCCUGGUAGUCCACGCCGUAAACGAUGAGAACUAGGUGUUGCGGGUAUUGACCCCUGCAGUGCCGCAGCUAACGCAUUAAGUUCUCCGCCUGGGAAGUACGGUCGCAAGGCUAAA
RNAcentral lists this ribosomal RNA (332 nucleotides) under uncultured bacterium. Its description in RNAcentral is "bacterial SSU rRNA". It matches the Rfam family "Bacterial small subunit ribosomal RNA", at positions 568 to 898 of the family's 1533-position model. The record is from RNAcentral.